This 64-nucleotide transfer RNA is filed under the name Ephemera orientalis (oriental mayfly). Its description in RNAcentral is "tRNA-Gly". The record is from RNAcentral. Lineage: Eukaryota; Metazoa; Arthropoda; Insecta; Ephemeroptera; Ephemeridae.
ACUUAUCUAGUAUAAAUAGUAUAUUUGGCUUCCAACCAGAAGGUUUGAAAUUUCAAGAUAAGUA